RNAcentral lists this transfer RNA (67 nucleotides) under Pantoea ananatis. RNAcentral describes it as "tRNA-Pro". The stretch from base 5 to 63 matches the Rfam family "tRNA", at positions 8 to 63 of the family's 71-position model. Rfam says of the family: Transfer RNA (tRNA) molecules are approximately 80 nucleotides in length. Their secondary structure includes four short double-helical elements and three loops (D, anti-codon, and T loops). Lineage: Bacteria; Pseudomonadati; Pseudomonadota; Gammaproteobacteria; Enterobacterales; Erwiniaceae. The record is from RNAcentral.
CGAGUAGCGCAGCUUGGUAGCGCAACUGGUUUGGGACCAGUGGGUCGGAGGUUCGAAUCCUGUUCAA